CUUCACGCCCGCGUGGAAGGAAUGAGGCAUUUCCGGUGUGUAAUUCUUAUCAGAGAAGAAAAUGACGUAUUCUGAUGAUAGGCUCGGCUAACUCGUGCAGCAGCGCGUAAUACGGAGGGAGCAAGCGUUAUCGGAAUCACUGGGCGUAAAGGACGCGUAGGCGGGUUAUUAAGUCAGAUGUGAAAUCCUAUGGCUCAACCAUAGAACUGCAUUUGAAACUGGUAACCUAGAGUAUGGAAGGGGAAAAUGGAAUUAGUGGUGUAGGGGUAAAAUCCGUAGAUAUCACUAGGAAUACCGAAAGCGAAGGCGAUUUUCUGGGACAUACUGACGCUGAGGCGUGAAAGCGUGGGGAGCAAACAGGAUUAGAUACCCUGGUAGUCCACGCCCUAAACGAUGAAUGCUAGUCGUCGGAGAGCUCGUCUCUUCGGUGAUGCACUUAACAGAUUAAGCAUUCCGCCUGGGGAGUACGGUCGCAAGAUUAAAACUCAAAGGAAUAGACGGGGACCCGCACAAGUGGUGGAGCAUGUGGUUUAAUUCGAAGAUACGCGAAGAACCUUACCUGGCCUUGACAUUGAUUGAAUCACUCAGAGAUGAGAGAGUGCCCUUCGGGGAACAUGAAAACAGGUGCUGCACGGCUGUCGUCAGCUCGUGUCGUGAGAUGUUGGGUUAAGUCCCGCAACGAGCGCAACCCUCGUGUUUAGUUGCUAACAGUUCGGCUGAGCACUCUAGACAGACUGCCUCCGCAAGGAGGAGGAAGGUGGGGACGACGUCAAGUCAUCAUGGUCCUUACGGCCAGGGCGACACACGUGCUACAAUGGUUAGGACAAUGAGACGCAAUACCGCGAGGUGGAGCAAAUCUAUAAACCUAAUCUCAGUUCGGAUAGUAGUCUGCAACUCGACUACUUGAAGCUGGAAUCACUAGUAAUCGUAGAUCAGCUAUGCUACGGUGAAUACGUUCCCGGGUCUUGUACUCACCGCCCGUCACACCAUGGGAGUUGAUUUCACCCGAAGCGGGGAAGCUAAACUGGCUACCCUCCACGGUGGAAUUAGCGACUGGGGUGAAGUCGUAACAAGGUAAC
Molecule: ribosomal RNA, 1079 nt
Filed under: uncultured Campylobacterota bacterium
Lineage: Bacteria; Pseudomonadati; Campylobacterota
Description: bacterial SSU rRNA
Rfam family: Bacterial small subunit ribosomal RNA
Source: RNAcentral